GAAGAAAAAGAAAGGAAGAGAGAGAGAGAAGAGGGGAGGGGACUUUAACUGGACUUGGCAAGUAAUAAGUCCAGAACAGGAUACCAGCCUGGCUCCACACGCUGCUUGUCUCUACUUAGGAUAGUUGCAAAGGUUUCACUCGCUGUGUAGGUUCUGGAAAUUUUGUCCAUGUCUUUUUAGAGGUGGGGAGGGCCUUUAUGCUGAUAGCAGAACAUUCAUUCAAAAAACACUUCCUGGACGUCUACUAACUAUAAGCCAUAGUAAAAGGUGCAAAUAUGUGUGAUCCUUCACCCCGCCUUCAGGAAUUUGCUGUCCUCAACCAACACCAAAAGCAUGGGGUGGGGCAGCCAAGGCACAGGAAGGCGGGUGAGGUGGGGUAGAUCCCAUUAGCGGUACAGGUGACCUGCUGUGGUUCUGCGUAUUGAGGGGUGUGGGGACUUUCAGGAAGAUCUGAGUCUUGGGGAAGCGUAGGAUUUGGGUGGAUGAAAAUAAAGGGAAGGGCUGUUGGGAGCAGUGUAGGGGCUGAGUCAGGGGAGUGGGCUGAUAAAGCCCAAGGAGGAGCAACUUCCCUCCUUCUCCUCAGGGUUACCCAUGUCUGAUUGCCUUUUCCUUAUGACUGGUGACUUUCUCUGCCCUGAAGUUCACUGCCUUGCAGAGAAAUUGCACAGGAGCCAGAAGAGAGGCCUGACACUCAGGUGGGGUGCCCUGGACUCCCGUCUUCCUGGGUGCUCAGACGCAGAACGCCAGAAUGCAGUCCUUGGAUGACAGUCCUGCUUGUUGAAAUUUUAUGACACAAUGAACCAACUGUGAUGUGACUAAUCAGCUGAGAGCUUGGAUCUGGGCUUGGUUGACACACAGAUUUGCUGGCCUGAGAGAUUAAUUAAAUUCCUUGCAGUUGACAAACUGGGACUCUAGUGCUUUCUGUCUAAUUACGAUGACACAGCCAGAGCCCACCACCAAGUGUUGACAUUUCCCCAGGGCCGGCAUAGCAGUGCAUGCUUGGCCUCACAGCUCUUUAUUUCCAGAGCCUGGCACAAGAUACACAUGUCUGUUGAACUGUGUGGACUGCAUUGACAGUUUGAUGUGUGAGGUCUGUUCCACUGGGGAGGAGGGGGACAAAGUGAAUUAUAAGCGAGAGCUCGGUGGUGAGCACCCUUCCAACCAGAAGCAGCUGUUGUAGAAAUAAAUGAUGGGUAAUUCCUGGUGGUUCCGUUGGUCUUCAGGGGAAGCCACUGAAGAGCUUCAACUUGGGGAUCCUAUGGAAUCCUUUUCCCGGAUGCUCUCCCAUCAGAUGAACUGGAGCACUUCCGGAGCCGGAGAGUGAAGACUCCACCUUCGUUACUCUCCGCCUUGUUGAAGACUGAGGGAUGUAGAGGUCCCAGGGUGGAGGGAGGUGGACACACGUGCUACAGUUGACAGAAUCGUUGUCCUGGUGUUGGUAGGGACCCUCCUGAUAACCAGAUCUCUGGGGUGAAUGAAGUGCGAAUCAGCUCAUUCUGCCCUGGGUGAGAACUUAAACACAGCUUGUUUCAGAGAAGGGUGGCAAAGAGAGGGCCGUCUCCCUGUCCCUUACCAGGUGACAGUAUAAAGCCCUGUCCCUUGCCAGCGAAGCCCUCCCUGGCCUGACUGCAUGCUCUCUGGGACCUCGGUCACAGGAGCCUUCCCUCUGCUCCACAUUGAUUUAGUCUGGGAUCUACGCACACCCUGUGGUUUCCCUGGCUCCAACCCUAUGUUUUCUCCCCAUGAAAUCCUUCAGAACCCAGCGCUGUGCACACUUCCUUCAGGAAACCUUUUUCCACUCCAGCCCACAUGAAUGUCUUUUUUUUUUUUUCUGAACUUCCAUACAACACGGACAUAUAGAAAAUACUCUAGGACUUAAUUUUCCUGUCGUAUUUCCCUGACUUGAUUGAGGGUUACUUGAAGGCAGAAAGAAGGUUUGAUACCUUGUCAUUCCACCUGUCACACUUGAACAGAGCCGGAUGCAUCGUGACUUCUCGGCACUUCUUAUUUAUUCAUUUUUAUGGGCUUUUUUUAAAAACUCCUGCCACAUGCCAUUGUUAUAGGCCCUAGGAGGGGAAAUGGCAGGAAACAAGGCAGUUGCUGCCUCUUAGGUGUCUGUUCAUUUCAGCGCAUGAGGCAUGACUGGGAUUUUGAGGGAAAAUGAGUCUGCUGAGUAGUUUGCAUGGGCAGAACUGGUCCAGGCAGCAGGUCAGCAGCAAGGACUAAAGGGCCACAUGGUAGAUUUCAGAGCUGUGGGGAUUUACAAAAGGGUUUGAGCGAGCACCAAAUAUGAAGUUUAACAAGUCCUUGCGUAUUAAAAUGUAAACUUUCUGGUUCUUCUAGAUUCAGAUACAAACAAGACAUGUUGCAAGUGUAGGCACAUGUUCCAGGACCUGUUAUCUUCUCCAAUUUCCAUACCAGUCCUGUAGGCUCGGUACUGUUCACCUGACAGGCUUGUGCCUGAGAAGAUUCCGGGAAUAGCUCACUCUCCAAGUGACACGGUUUGCUUCAUUGGGAGAGCUGGGAAUUGGAUCUGUCUUCUAACUGAAAAGUCCAUGCUUGCCUUUGGCACUCCAUAGCUGCCUCUGACCCUGAUUUUGUUGUUCUCAUAAGAUUCCUAGGAGAUCGCUGCUGUUACUGUCAUAUCUGUUUCACAGAUUUUUUUAAAAAGCAAGGUGUGUACUGGCUUAACCUCUCCAGCAUCACACAGAGCCGGCAUUUGAACCCAAUUCCACCCGAUUCUGGUGCCUGUGCUUUGGACGGCUCUUAGUCACGCAGGGGGCUGCAUGGGAAACAGAAGGGCCUGUAGACAGCUGUUUGAGAAACACUGUGCACCCCACUCCUCUGGGCAAGUUUUAUUAAGAUACAAUU
Long non-coding RNA from Myotis lucifugus (little brown bat), 2871 nucleotides. RefSeq lists it as uncharacterized. The transcript has 3 exons. Lineage: Eukaryota; Metazoa; Chordata; Mammalia; Chiroptera; Vespertilionidae. The record is from RefSeq and is a predicted model, not a curated record.